RNAcentral lists this ribosomal RNA (373 nucleotides) under uncultured organism. RNAcentral describes it as "partial 16S ribosomal RNA". It matches the Rfam family "Bacterial small subunit ribosomal RNA", at positions 527 to 896 of the family's 1533-position model. The record is from RNAcentral.
GUAGGUGGCAAGCAUUGUCCGGAAUUAUUGGGCGUAAAGCGCGCGCAGGUGGUUCUUUAAGUCUGAUGUGAAAGCCCCCGGGCUCAACCGGGGAGGGUCAUUGGAAACUGGGGAACUUGAGUGCAGGAGAGGAAAGUGGAAUUCCACGUGUAGCGGUGAAAUGCGUAGAUAUGUGGAGGAACACCAGUGGCGAAGGCGACUUUCUGGCCUGUAACUGACACUGAGGCGCGAAAGCGUGGGGAGCAAACAGGAUUAGAUACCCUGGUAGUCCACGCCGUAAACGAUGAGUGCUAAGUGUUGGGGGGUUUCCGCCCCUCAGUGCUGCAGCUAACGCAUUAAGCACUCCGCCUGGGUAGUACGGUCGCAAAGACUG